UGAGGAAUUUUGCGCAAUGGGGGAAACCCUGACGCAGCAACGCCGCGUGGGUGAUGAAGGCCUUCGGGUCGUAAAGCCCUGUCGGGCGGGAAGAACGUCCCUUCGGGGAAUGACGGUACCGCCAGAGGAAGCACCGGCUAACUCCGUGCCAGCAGCCGCGGUAAUACGGAGGGUGCAAGCGUUAUUCGGAAUUACUGGGCGUAAAGGGCGUGCAGGCGGGGGGGCAAGUCUGAUGUGAAAGCCCGGGGCUUAACCCCGGAAGGGCAUUGGAAACUGCUUUUCUUGAGUUCUGGAGAGGAAGGUGGAAUUCCCGGUGUAGAGGUGAAAUGCGUAGAGAUCGGGAGGAACAUCAGUGGCGAAGGCGCCCUUCUGGACAGCAACUGACGCUGAGACGCGAAAGCGUGGGGAGCAAACA
RNAcentral lists this ribosomal RNA (415 nucleotides) under uncultured prokaryote. RNAcentral describes it as "bacterial SSU rRNA". It matches the Rfam family "Bacterial small subunit ribosomal RNA", at positions 355 to 774 of the family's 1533-position model. The record is from RNAcentral.